UUUCCCUCAGGAUAGCUGGCACUCGCUUGAGCGAGUCUCAUCUGGUAAAGCGAAUGAUUAGAGGCCUUGGGGCCGAAACGACCUCAACCUAUUCUCAAACUUUAAAUGGGUGAGAUCUCUGGCUUGCUUGAACGUUGAAGCCACGAGAGCAAUAUUGCAAUGGAUCAGAGUGCCAAGUGGGCCAAUUUUGGUAAGCAGAACUGGCGCUGUGGGA
This 214-nucleotide ribosomal RNA is filed under the name Eupelmus falcatus. RNAcentral describes it as "partial 28S ribosomal RNA". It matches the Rfam family "Eukaryotic large subunit ribosomal RNA", at positions 967 to 1163 of the family's 3401-position model. The record is from RNAcentral. Lineage: Eukaryota; Metazoa; Arthropoda; Insecta; Hymenoptera; Eupelmidae.